RNAcentral lists this transfer RNA (73 nucleotides) under Salmo salar (Atlantic salmon). It matches the Rfam family "tRNA". From Rfam's summary of the family: Transfer RNA (tRNA) molecules are approximately 80 nucleotides in length. Lineage: Eukaryota; Metazoa; Chordata; Actinopteri; Salmoniformes; Salmonidae. The record is from Rfam by way of RNAcentral.
UCCUUGUUGGCGCAGCAGGCAGAGCGUCAGUCUCAUAAUCUGAAGGUCGUGAGUUCGAUCCUCACACGGGGCA